This 273-nucleotide ribosomal RNA is filed under the name uncultured bacterium. RNAcentral's name for it is "partial 16S ribosomal RNA". It matches the Rfam family "Bacterial small subunit ribosomal RNA", at positions 524 to 796 of the family's 1533-position model. The record is from RNAcentral.
UACGAAGGGGGCGAGCGUUGUUCGGAAUUACUGGGCGUAAAGGGCGCGCAGGCGGCCAUUCAAGUCAGGCGUGAAAGCCCCGGGCUUAACCUGGGAGGUGCGUCUGGGACUGGGUGGCUAGAGAUCGGGAGAGGAGAGUGGAAUUCCCAGUGUAGAGGUGAAAUUCGUAGAUAUUGGGAAGAACACCGGUGGCGAAGGCGGCUCUCUGGACCGAGACUGACGCUGAGGCGCGAAAGCGUGGGGAGCAAACAGGAUUAGAUACCCCCGUAGUCC